UACGUAGGGUGCGAGCGUUGUCCGGAAUUAUUGGGCGUAAAGAGCUCGUAGGCGGUGUGUCACGUCGGCCGUGAAAACCUGCAGCUUAACUGUGGGCGUGCGGUCGAUACGGGCAUCACUGGAGUUCGGCAGGGGAGACUGGAAUUCCUGGUGUAGCGGUGAAAUGCGUAGAUAUCAAGAGGAACACCUGCGGCGAAGGCGGGUUGCUGGGCUGACACUGACGCUGAAGUGCGAAAGCUAGGGGAGCGAACGGG
Molecule: ribosomal RNA, 254 nt
Filed under: uncultured prokaryote
Description: partial 16S ribosomal RNA
Rfam family: Bacterial small subunit ribosomal RNA
Source: RNAcentral